This 253-nucleotide ribosomal RNA is filed under the name uncultured bacterium. Its description in RNAcentral is "partial 16S ribosomal RNA". It matches the Rfam family "Bacterial small subunit ribosomal RNA", at positions 524 to 776 of the family's 1533-position model. The record is from RNAcentral.
UACGGAGGGUGCAAGCGUUAUCCGGAUUCACUGGGCGUAAAGGGCUCGUAGGUGGCCAACUAAGUCAGACGUGAAAUCCCUCGGCUUAACCGGGGAACUGCGUCUGAUACUGGAUGGCUUGAGUUUGGGAGAGGAAUGCGGAAUUCCAGGUGUAGCGGUGAAAUGCGUAGAUAUCUGGAGGAACACCGGUGGCGAAGGCGGCAUUCUGGACCAAUACUGACGCUGAGGAGCGAAGGCCAGGGGAGCAAACGGG